This 443-nucleotide ribosomal RNA is filed under the name uncultured bacterium. Its description in RNAcentral is "partial 16S ribosomal RNA". It matches the Rfam family "Bacterial small subunit ribosomal RNA", at positions 338 to 795 of the family's 1533-position model. The record is from RNAcentral.
CCUACGGGAGGCAGCAGGGGGGAAUAGUGGGCAAUGGAGGAAACCCUGACGCAGCAACGCCGCGGGAAGGAAGAAGGACGUAGGGUCGGAAACCUAUGUUGGAAAGGAAGAAAAGAAUGACGGUACUUUACAAGAAAGCUUCGGCUAACUAUGUGCCAGCAGCCGCGGUAAGACAGAGGGGGCAAGCGUUGUGCGUAAUUACUGGGCGUAAAGGGAGCGUAGGCGGGAGAUUAAGUUAAGGGUGAAAGCCUUGGGCUCAACCCGAGAAAUGCUCUUGAUACUGGUUUUCUAGAGUGUGGGAGAGGUAAGUGGAAUUCCUGGUGUAGCGGUGAAAUGCGUAGAGAUUAGGAGGAACAUCAGGGGCGAAGGCGGCUUACUGGACCAUAACUGACGCUGAGGCUCGAAAGCGUGGGGAGCAAACAGGAUUAGAUACCCCAGUAGUC